UACGAAGGGAGCUAGCGUUGUUCGGAAUUACUGGGCGUAAAGGGUGCGUAGGCUGUUAUGUAAGUUAGAUGUGAAAGCCUUGGUUUCAAGCUAAGAAUAGCAUUUAAUACUGCACAACUAGAGGGUAAGAGAGGAUAGUGGAAUUCUGAGUGUAGAGGUAAAAUUCGUAGAUAUUCAGAGGAACACCGGAGGCGAAAGCGUCUAUCUGGAUUACUACUGACGCUGAGGCACGAAAGUAUGGGGAGCAAACAGG
RNAcentral lists this ribosomal RNA (253 nucleotides) under uncultured bacterium. RNAcentral's name for it is "partial 16S ribosomal RNA". It matches the Rfam family "Bacterial small subunit ribosomal RNA", at positions 524 to 776 of the family's 1533-position model. The record is from RNAcentral.